GAGUUUGAUCAUGGCUCAGAUUGAACGCUGGCGGCAGGCCUAACCCAUGCAAGUCGAACGGUAACAGGAAGCAGCUUGCUGCUUCGCUGACGAGUGGCGGACGGGUGAGUAAUGUCUGGGAAGCUGCCUGAUGGAGGGGGAUAACUACUGGAAACGGUAGCUAAUACCGCAUAAUGUCGCAAGACCAAAGAGGGGGACCUUCGGGCCUCUUGCCAUCGGAUGUGCCCAGAUGGGAUUAGCUUGUUGGUGGGGUAACGGCUCACCAAGGCGACGAUCCCUAGCUGGUCUGAGAGGAUGACCAGCCACACUGGGACUGAGACACGGUCCAGACUCCUACGGGAGGCAGCAGUGGGGAAUAUUGCACAAUGGGCGCAAGCCUGAUGCAGCCAUGCCGCGUGUAUGAAGAAGGCCUUCGGGUUGUAAAGUACUUUCAGCGGGGAGGAAGGGAGUAAAGUUAAUACCUUUGCUCAUUGACGUUACCCGCAGAAGAAGCACCGGCUAACUCCGUGCCAGCAGCCGCGGUAAUACGGAGGGUGCAAGCGUUAAUCGGAAUUACUGGGCGUAAAGCGCACGCAGGCGGUUUGUUAAGUCAGAUGUGAAAUCCCCGGGCUCAACCUGGGAACUGCAUCUGAUACUGGCAAGCUUGAGUCUCGUAGAGGGGGGUAGAAUUCCAGGUGUAGCGGUGAAAUGCGUAGAGAUCUGGAGGAAUACCGGUGGCGAAGGCGGCCCCCUGGACGAAGACUGACGCUCAGGUGCGAAAGCGUGGGGAGCAAACAGGAUUAGAUACCCUGGUAGUCCACGCCGUAAACGAUGUCGACUUGGAGGUUGUGCCCUUGAGGCGUGGCUUCCGGAGCUAACGCGUUAAGUCGACCGCCUGGGGAGUACGGCCGCAAGGUUAAAACUCAAAUGAAUUGACGGGGGCCCGCACAAGCGGUGGAGCAUGUGGUUUAAUUCGAUGCAACGCGAAGAACCUUACCUGGUCUUGACAUCCACGGAAGUUUUCAGAGAUGAGAAUGUGCCUUCGGGAACCGUGAGACAGGUGCUGCAUGGCUGUCGUCAGCUCGUGUUGUGAAAUGUUGGGUUAAGUCCCGCAACGAGCGCAACCCUUAUCCUUUGUUGCCAGCGGUCCGGCCGGGAACUCAAAGGAGACUGCCAGUGAUAAACUGGAGGAAGGUGGGGAUGACGUCAAGUCAUCAUGGCCCUUACGACCAGGGCUACACACGUGCUACAAUGGCGCAUACAAAGAGAAGCGACCUCGCGAGAGCAAGCGGACCUCAUAAAGUGCGUCGUAGUCCGGAUUGGAGUCUGCAACUCGACUCCAUGAAGUCGGAAUCGCUAGUAAUCGUGGAUCAGAAUGCCACGGUGAAUACGUUCCCGGGCCUUGUACACACCGCCCGUCACACCAUGGGAGUGGGUUGCAAAAGAAGUAGGUAGCUUAACCUUCGGGAGGGCGCUUACCACUUUGUGAUUCAUGACUGGGGUGAAGUCGGAACAAGGUA
This 1499-nucleotide ribosomal RNA is filed under the name metagenome. RNAcentral describes it as "bacterial SSU rRNA". It matches the Rfam family "Bacterial small subunit ribosomal RNA". The record is from RNAcentral.